RNAcentral lists this ribosomal RNA (274 nucleotides) under uncultured bacterium. RNAcentral describes it as "partial 16S ribosomal RNA". It matches the Rfam family "Bacterial small subunit ribosomal RNA", at positions 523 to 796 of the family's 1533-position model. The record is from RNAcentral.
AUACGGAGGGGGCUAGCGUUGCUCGGAAUUACUGGGCGUAAAGGGCGCGUAGGCGGAUUGUCAAGUCAGAGGUGAAAGCCCUGGGCUCAACCCGGGAACUGCCUUUGAAACUAACAGUCUUGAGUCCGCGAGAGGAUGGCGGAAUUCCCAGUGUAGAGGUGAAAUUCGUAGAUAUUGGGAAGAACACCAGUGGCGAAGGCGGCCAUCUGGCUCGGUACUGACGCUGAGGCGCGAAAGCGUGGGGAGCAAACAGUAUUAGAAACCCCAGUAGUCC